CAAAUGAACGUCGGAGCCGUCGCACUCAACAUUUCUCUGCAUAUCGUCAGACAUCUUCCUCGUGGAGUUUUCUGCCAAAUGAGGACGUGAUUGCUGCUGUACUGUGAAUCUCAAGCACACCUGCAUUCUUAUCAUGGGUGAUGGGCAGUUCAAGAUUGCUGUCGUUCAAGAAGUUAAUGACCACUGUUGAGGUUGUGAGCUACAAAUACCCAGAAGAGGUGGCACUUACAUUAGAAUUCAUACAGAAAGUUUUCCUGUGAAGAAAUCCUAAAUGAGGGUUGAGAUGAAGGCAACCAGGUGAUGGGCAGUUCAAGAUUGCUGUCGUUUGAGAAGUUAAUGAACAAAUCAUCUUUCCUGUUGCGGUUGUGAGCUACAAAAUACCCAGAGGAGGCGGCACUUACUCUGGAGUUCAUACAGAAAAUUUUCCUGUGAAGAAAUCCUAAACGUGGUUUGAGAUGAAGGCAACCAAGUGGCUGUGCAUUCCUCCAAGACUCUUGCAUGAACAAUUUCAAAAAUCCAUGUAAUAUUUGAGUUUUUAAAUUGAAA
Molecule: long non-coding RNA, 546 nt
Organism: Labeo rohita (rohu)
Lineage: Eukaryota; Metazoa; Chordata; Actinopteri; Cypriniformes; Cyprinidae
Exons: 6
Source: RefSeq, a predicted model, not a curated record